UAAACCCAGGCAAAAUCCAUAAAUUCCAAAACACAAUUAGAAACUCAGAAUUGAAGAGACAUACAAAUUAAAAUUUCCCCAAUUCUUCAUCUUCUUCAAUCGUGCCUUCUUCUUCUUUUCCUCCUCUAUUAAAAGACUAAACCUCAUACUAAAGAGUACCUCAUACUAAAGAUCAGUAAAGACAUCAAUGAUCAAACAGAAGCAGGGGCGCCAUAUCGAGAAACCCAAACAUGUUAGUUUAGGGGUCUCUUGUUCUGGUCUGCAUAAAUGGCCAUUAGGCCGUCUAGGCCCAUGCCGUCCUAGAGGAUUCACAACUAAGUGGAUAUCGCGCUGGUCGGCCAGGACGAACAAGAAGAAGCUUAACUCACAACCAUAGGUGCUCUCCGCUUCUUGCUCCACCGUGCCUUGCCCCACCUUGGCCUGAGUUCAUCACCACUGGAACUGCAGGGUAGAGUCUGAGUGUCUCAGCCAAAGCUGCAUGCAAAUAAUGCAUCUUUUCAAGGGCCCCAUCAGUUAGCCUAUCUGCAAGUUCAUCAAUAUUGCAAAUGUUGUUCAACUUUGUUACUGCUUGAACUUCAUGUGCAAUUUUUUCUUGGAUAUCAGGAUGCUUGCAGAGCAUGUAAAAUAACCAAGAAAGAGUAGCAGCUGUUGUAUCUCUUCCUGCAAUCAUGAAGUUGAGGAUAAUGUCUCUAAGAUAACUUGGAUCUGUUUCUUUGGAUGCCAUAAACCUUGAGACCAUGUCUUCUCUUCUCAUCUGACAUUAGAUGUGUAAUUAAAAUGGAUAAUCACUUCACCAAUUUUGCAUCACUAAGGUAUAAGAGAUGGUUGUAACUUGUAAGAGUUAAGACUCACUGGCAAAUUAUGUGGUAAGUUUUGGACUUGCUCUAUCUUGCUUUUGAUGAUUUUAUAAACAAAUUCAUCCACCACUUUAAUAUGGUUCCUCAGUGCUGCUUCUGUUCCAAUGUUGAGGAACCGCUUUAUUCUCCAGAAAAUAUCAACAUAACGAUACAAGGUAAUGGCACUUGCUUCAUCAAAUGCAUUGGAGAAUUUGGUUCCUUCUUUGUUUGUUCCAGAAAUGGUGUCCAAGUCUACGCCAAGGAUAACCUUAAACACUGAAUCUAGAGUCGAUUUCAUGAACAACUCCUGCCAUGCACCAUUAGAUUAAUAGGUCUUUUAUUUAUAUAAGACUGUUAGAAAUAUAUAUAAUAUUAUUUGUGUUUUAUAA
Long non-coding RNA from Lotus japonicus, 1225 nucleotides. RefSeq lists it as uncharacterized. The transcript is spliced from 2 exons. Lineage: Eukaryota; Viridiplantae; Streptophyta; Magnoliopsida; Fabales; Fabaceae. The record is from RefSeq and is a predicted model, not a curated record.